This 2394-nucleotide ribosomal RNA is filed under the name Escherichia coli. RNAcentral describes it as "partial 23S ribosomal RNA". It matches the Rfam family "Bacterial large subunit ribosomal RNA", at positions 418 to 2797 of the family's 2925-position model. The record is from RNAcentral. Lineage: Bacteria; Pseudomonadati; Pseudomonadota; Gammaproteobacteria; Enterobacterales; Enterobacteriaceae.
CGGGACACGUGGUAUCCUGUCUGAAUAUGGGGGGACCAUCCUCCAAGGCUAAAUACUCCUGACUGACCGAUAGUGAACCAGUACCGUGAGGGAAAGGCGAAAAGAACCCCGGCGAGGGGAGUGAAAAAGAACCUGAAACCGUGUACGUACAAGCAGUGGGAGCCUCUUUAUGGGGUGACUGCGUACCUUUUGUAUAAUGGGUCAGCGACUUAUAUUCUGUAGCAAGGUUAACCGAAUAGGGGAGCCGAAGGGAAACCGAGUCUUAACUGGGCGUUAAGUUGCAGGGUAUAGACCCGAAACCCGGUGAUCUAGCCAUGGGCAGGUUGAAGGUUGGGUAACACUAACUGGAGGACCGAACCGACUAAUGUUGAAAAAUUAGCGGAUGACUUGUGGCUGGGGGUGAAAGGCCAAUCAAACCGGGAGAUAGCUGGUUCUCCCCGAAAGCUAUUUAGGUAGCGCCUCGUGAAUUCAUCUCCGGGGGUAGAGCACUGUUUCGGCAAGGGGGUCAUCCCGACUUACCAACCCGAUGCAAACUGCGAAUACCGGAGAAUGUUAUCACGGGAGACACACGGCGGGUGCUAACGUCCGUCGUGAAGAGGGAAACAACCCAGACCGCCAGCUAAGGUCCCAAAGUCAUGGUUAAGUGGGAAACGAUGUGGGAAGGCCCAGACAGCCAGGAUGUUGGCUUAGAAGCAGCCAUCAUUUAAAGAAAGCGUAAUAGCUCACUGGUCGAGUCGGCCUGCGCGGAAGAUGUAACGGGGCUAAACCAUGCACCGAAGCUGCGGCAGCGACACUAUGUGUUGUUGGGUAGGGGAGCGUUCUGUAAGCCUGUGAAGGUGGCCUGUGAGGGUUGCUGGAGGUAUCAGAAGUGCGAAUGCUGACAUAAGUAACGAUAAAGCGGGUGAAAAGCCCGCUCGCCGGAAGACCAAGGGUUCCUGUCCAACGUUAAUCGGGGCAGGGUGAGUCGACCCCUAAGGCGAGGCCGAAAGGCGUAGUCGAUGGGAAACAGGUUAAUAUUCCUGUACUUGGUGUUACUGCGAAGGGGGGACGGAGAAGGCUAUGUUGGCCGGGCGACGGUUGUCCCGGUUUAAGCGUGUAGGCUGGUUUUCCAGGCAAAUCCGGAAAACCAAGGCUGAGGCGUGAUGACGAGGCACUACGGUGCUGAAGCGACAAAUGCCCUGCUUCCAGGAAAAGCCUCUAAGCAUCAGGUAACAUCAAAUCGUACCCCAAACCGACACAGGUGGUCAGGUAGAGAAUACCAAGGCGCUUGAGAGAACUCGGGUGAAGGAACUAGGCAAAAUGGUGCCGUAACUUCGGGAGAAGGCACGCUGAUAUGUAGGUGAAGCGACUUGCUCGUGGAGCUGAAAUCAGUCGAAGAUACCAGCUGGCUGCAACUGUUUAUUAAAAACACAGCACUGUGCAAACACGAAAGUGGACGUAUACGGUGUGACGCCUGCCCGGUGCCGGAAGGUUAAUUGAUGGGGUUAGCGGUAACGCGAAGCUCUUGAUCGAAGCCCCGGUAAACGGCGGCCGUAACUAUAACGGUCCUAAGGUAGCGAAAUUCCUUGUCGGGUAAGUUCCGACCUGCACGAAUGGCGUAAUGAUGGCCAGGCUGUCUCCACCCGAGACUCAGUGAAAUUGAACUCGCUGUGAAGAUGCAGUGUACCCGCGGCAAGACGGAAAGACCCCGUGAACCUUUACUAUAGCUUGACACUGAACAUUGAGCCUUGAUGUGUAGGAUAGGUGGGAGGCUUUGAAGUGUGGACGCCAGUCUGCAUGGAGCCGACCUUGAAAUACCACCCUUUAAUGUUUGAUGUUCUAACGUUGGCCCGUAAUCCGGGUUGCGGACAGUGUCUGGUGGGUAGUUUGACUGGGGCGGUCUCCUCCUAAAGAGUAACGGAGGAGCACGAAGGUUGGCUAAUCCUGGUCGGACAUCAGGAGGUUAGUGCAAUGGCAUAAGCCAGCUUGACUGCGAGCGUGACGGCGCGAGCAGGUGCGAAAGCAGGUCAUAGUGAUCCGGUGGUUCUGAAUGGAAGGGCCAUCGCUCAACGGAUAAAAGGUACUCCGGGGAUAACAGGCUGAUACCGCCCAAGAGUUCAUAUCGACGGCGGUGUUUGGCACCUCGAUGUCGGCUCAUCACAUCCUGGGGCUGAAGUAGGUCCCAAGGGUAUGGCUGUUCGCCAUUUAAAGUGGUACGCGAGCUGGGUUUAGAACGUCGUGAGACAGUUCGGUCCCUAUCUGCCGUGGGCGCUGGAGAACUGAGGGGGGCUGCUCCUAGUACGAGAGGACCGGAGUGGACGCAUCACUGGUGUUCGGGUUGUCAUGCCAAUGGCACUGCCCGGUAGCUAAAUGCGGAAGAGAUAAGUGCUGAAAGCAUCUAAGCACGAAACUUGC